Danio rerio (zebrafish) is the source of this 275-nucleotide non-coding RNA. NCBI's taxonomy places the organism in Eukaryota, Metazoa, Chordata, Actinopteri, Cypriniformes, Danionidae. The record is from Ensembl.
ACAGAAGAAGAGCGUCGCCUGGAAACUGGCUGAAGCUUGAGGAUGUUCAACAGAUAUGCAGCUAUGUAGCUGCAGCGUGACCUAUGUCGUCCUUUUGAACUCGCUGGUUCACAGAAGAGGUUUAACGUUAGAGUAAGUUACGGACACAAGUCACUUACAGUGUAAAUAAACAUGAUUUACCUUUUUUCCUCUUGUGAAAUGUUUACGUAAAUGUCCUAAGUUUGACUUGUGGUGUCAUAAUAAGUGUAUGUGAUGUGGUAUGUGUGAGCGUGUAC